Molecule: ribosomal RNA, 356 nt
Filed under: uncultured Streptococcus sp.
Lineage: Bacteria; Bacillati; Bacillota; Bacilli; Lactobacillales; Streptococcaceae
Description: bacterial SSU rRNA
Rfam family: Bacterial small subunit ribosomal RNA
Source: RNAcentral
CAUCGGUGACAGGUGGUGCAUGGUUGUCGUCAGCUCGUGUCGUGAGAUGUUGGGUUAAGUCCCGCAACGAGCGCAACCCCUAUUGUUAGUUGCCAUCAUUCAGUUGGGCACUCUAGCGAGACUGCCGGUAAUAAACCGGAGGAAGGUGGGGAUGACGUCAAAUCAUCAUGCCCCUUAUGACCUGGGCUACACACGUGCUACAAUGGUUGGUACAACGAGUUGCGAGUCGGUGACGGCGAGCUAAUCUCUUAAAAGCCAAUCUCAGUUCGGAUUGUAGGCUGCAACUCGCCUACAUGAAGUCGGAAUCGCUAGUAAUCGCGGAUCAGCACGCCGCGGUGAAUACGUUCCCGGGCCUU